Molecule: ribosomal RNA, 253 nt
Filed under: uncultured bacterium
Lineage: Bacteria
Description: partial 16S ribosomal RNA
Rfam family: Bacterial small subunit ribosomal RNA
Source: RNAcentral
UACAGAGGGUGCGAGCGUUAAUCGGAAUUACUGGGCGUAAAGCGCGCGUAGGCGGCUUUGCAAGCCGGAUGUGAAAUCCCCGGGCUUAACCUGGGAACUGCAUUCGGGACUGCAUUGCUAGAGUAUGGGAGAGGGAAGUGGAAUUUCAGGUGUAGCGGUGAAAUGCGUAGAUAUCUGAAGGAACAUCAGUGGCGAAAGCGACCUCCUGGACCAAUACUGACGCUCAUGUGCGAAAGCGUGGGGAGCAAACAGG